This is a long non-coding RNA of Vigna angularis (adzuki bean), 1166 nucleotides long. RefSeq lists it as uncharacterized. The record is from RefSeq and is a predicted model, not a curated record. Lineage: Eukaryota; Viridiplantae; Streptophyta; Magnoliopsida; Fabales; Fabaceae. The transcript is spliced from 2 exons.
UAGGAUUCGUCAAAAUGCAUGAGGGAAAACUCUUGCGGUCCAAUUUGAUUUGAAAUGGGAUACCCUAGCCUGACCUCAUGAAACAUAAAUGUUGGACCUUUGUUGGAGAGAACUCAACCAGGAUACGUGAGUUCAACUACAAAUGAAAAUCUCUUCAAGGAGUGGCACCAAUGUUGAAGUGAAAAUGACUCAAUCUCAAGCACCAAAGUACAAAUGAAACCAGUAGUGCAGGGUGUUCUUGAUUCAGUGGGCGUAAACUAGCCAUCGGAAAGGAAGUGUUGCUGCUGUACAUGUGUGCAGAUCAUUUGAGGAAUAAAGAGGUGUAGCUGCUGCUAUGCUGGAAAUGCUUACACUGCCAUGUUGGAUUAAAUGAGUGAUGACCUGGACAUUGGCAAGUUGACACGUGUAUCUGAUCAGCCAAUUAAGGGACUCCAAGAGACAAAAGCAAAGCUGGGCAACAAAGACAACUAGAAUACCUGUGACUUGGACAAGUUGAAUAAAUGCACAUUUGGGAGACUUGAAGCACCAACACUCACAUGUUCUUGGCUAUAGUUUUACUUGUUACAUACAGUCUCUUAGGUAGUUAACUAGUUGUAUUAGAUAUAUUAUUUUUAUCUUAUCUUUAUUUUUUAUAUUUAAUUAGUUUGAUAUUAUUUUUUAUUUAUAUUUUGGGUUUAAUCCAUAUUUCUUCUAUUAUAAAUAGAAUACCCUACAUGUAUAUUCAUUAUAUUCAACUCUAGAGUCAGGUUCUUUUGAGAAAAAAAUUCUGUUGCCUUUGCAUUACACCUGUUGCUGCCGGCGUCUUCUAUCGUUGCCACUACUGGAGUUCUAGUUUCGUCUAACAAUCACACUGUUUUGAUUGUCUCGGCCAGGUGACUACUGUGUCGUCAACGACGCCUUCAUCGGAGCUUUUACACGCUCUUAAUGCCUUUUGAAGUUGUGAAUCUGUUGCCUUUUCCAUUGUGCGUGUGACAUGUCUCAUCUCCUCUUAGACAACGAUUUAGAGUGUCAAUGUCGUUCUUUUUCCUCUUUCAGGUUCGUUGUGCAUUGUUGCAUGUCCCGUCUCCUCUCAGGCAGCUAUUUAGAACAUUGAGGUUGGUCCUUUUCCUUUUUCUAGUGCCUUGAUUGGAGAAUUUUGGAUUUUUAAUGGUUUUCUCUUCUGUUCA